GACGAACGCUGGCGGCGUGCCUAGUACAUGCAAGUCGAACGAGAGCGACCGGUGCUUGCACUGGUCAAUCUAGUGGCGAACGGGUGAGUAACACGUGGGUAACCUGCCCAUCAGAGGGGGAUAACAUUCGGAAACGGAUGCUAAAACCGCAUAGGUCUUCGAACCGCAUGGUUUGAAGAGGAAAAGAGGCGCAAGCUUCUGCUGAUGGAUGGACCCGCGGUGCAUUAGCUAGUUGGUGAGGUAACGGCUCACCAAGGCCGUGAUGCAUAGCCGACCUGAGAGGGUGAUCGGCCACAUUGGGACUGAGACACGGCCCAAACUCCUACGGGAGGCAGCAGUAGGGAAUCUUCCGCAAUGGACGCAAGUCUGACGGAGCAACGCCGCGUGAGUGAAGAAGGUUUUCGGAUCGUAAAACUCUGUUGUUAGAGAAGAACAAGUGCUAGAGUAACUUUUAGC
RNAcentral lists this ribosomal RNA (456 nucleotides) under Granulicatella adiacens. Its description in RNAcentral is "bacterial SSU rRNA". It matches the Rfam family "Bacterial small subunit ribosomal RNA", at positions 28 to 472 of the family's 1533-position model. The record is from RNAcentral. Lineage: Bacteria; Bacillati; Bacillota; Bacilli; Lactobacillales; Carnobacteriaceae.